AUUGAACGCUGGCGGCAGGCUUAACACAUGCAAGUCGAGCGAGCGGCGGACGGGUGAGUAAUGUCUGGGAAACUGCCUGAUAGAGGGGGAUAACUACUGGAAACGGUAGCUAAUACCGCAUACCAUCGGAUGUGCCCAGAUGGGAUUAGCUAGUAGGUGGGGUAAUGGCUCACCUAGGCGACGAUCCCUAGCUGGUCUGAGAGGAUGAUCAGCCACACUGGGACUGAGACACGGUCCAGACUCCUACGGGAGGCAGCAGUGGGGAAUAUUGCACAAUGGGCGCAAGCCUGAUGCAGCCAUGCCGCGUGUAUGAAGAAGGCCUUAGGGUUGUAAAGCACUUUCAGCGAGGAGGCGUUACUCGCAGAAGAAGCACCGGCUAACUCCGUGCCAGCAGCCGCGGUAAUUC
This 406-nucleotide ribosomal RNA is filed under the name uncultured bacterium. Its description in RNAcentral is "partial 16S ribosomal RNA". It matches the Rfam family "Bacterial small subunit ribosomal RNA", at positions 30 to 526 of the family's 1533-position model. The record is from RNAcentral.